This 3013-nucleotide ribosomal RNA is filed under the name Salmonella enterica subsp. enterica serovar Reading. RNAcentral's name for it is "23S ribosomal RNA". It matches the Rfam family "Bacterial large subunit ribosomal RNA". Lineage: Bacteria; Pseudomonadati; Pseudomonadota; Gammaproteobacteria; Enterobacterales; Enterobacteriaceae. The record is from RNAcentral.
GGGUUGUGAGGUUAAGCGACUAAGCGUACACGGUGGAUGCCCUGGCAGUCAGAGGCGAUGAAGGACGUGCUAAUCUGCGAUAAGCGCCGGUAAGGUGAUAUGAACCGUUAUAACCGGCGAUUUCCGAAUGGGGAAACCCAGUGUGACUCGUCACACUAUCAUUAACUGAAUCCAUAGGUUAAUGAGGCGAACCGGGGGAACUGAAACAUCUAAGUACCCCGAGGAAAAGAAAUCAACCGAGAUUCCCCCAGUAGCGGCGAGCGAACGGGGAGGAGCCCAGAGCCUGAAUCAGCAUGUGUGUUAGUGGAAGCGUCUGGAAAGGCGCGCGAUACAGGGUGACAGCCCCGUACACAAAAGCGCAUGUGCUGUGAGCUCGAUGAGUAGGGCGGGACACGUGGUAUCCUGUCUGAAUAUGGGGGGACCAUCCUCCAAGGCUAAAUACUCCUGACUGACCGAUAGUGAACCAGUACCGUGAGGGAAAGGCGAAAAGAACCCCGGCGAGGGGAGUGAAAAAGAACCUGAAACCGUGUACGUACAAGCAGUGGGAGCACAGGUUUACCUGUGUGACUGCGUACCUUUUGUAUAAUGGGUCAGCGACUUAUAUUCUGUAGCAAGGUUAACCGUAUAGGGGAGCCGGAGGGAAACCGAGUCUUAACCGGGCGUUAAGUUGCAGGGUAUAGACCCGAAACCCGGUGAUCUAGCCAUGGGCAGGUUGAAGGUUGGGUAACACUAACUGGAGGACCGAACCGACUAAUGUUGAAAAAUUAGCGGAUGACCUGUGGCUGGGGGUGAAAGGCCAAUCAAACCGGGAGAUAGCUGGUUCUCCCCGAAAGCUAUUUAGGUAGCGCCUCGUGAAUUCAUCUCCGGGGGUAGAGCACUGUUUCGGCUAGGGGGCCAUCCCGGCUUACCAACCCGAUGCAAACUGCGAAUACCGGAGAAUGUUAUCACGGGAGACACACGGCGGGUGCUAACGUCCGUCGUGAAGAGGGAAACAACCCAGACCGCCAGCUAAGGUCCCAAAGUCAUGGUUAAGUGGGAAACGAUGUGGGAAGGCCCAGACAGCCAGGAUGUUGGCUUAGAAGCAGCCAUCAUUUAAAGAAAGCGUAAUAGCUCACUGGUCGAGUCGGCCUGCGCGGAAGAUGUAACGGGGCUAAACCAUGCACCGAAGCUGCGGCAGCGAACGUAUCACCCAAGACAACUUUACGGAGUUGACGAUUGACGGAGCGAAGCGACGUCAAAGCGUUCAUUAAAGUCGAGUUGGCUUAGGGAUACGUUCGUUGGGUAGGGGAGCGUUCUGUAAGCCUGUGAAGGUGUGUCGUGAGGCAUGCUGGAGGUAUCAGAAGUGCGAAUGCUGACAUAAGUAACGAUAAAGCGGGUGAAAAGCCCGCUCGCCGGAAGACCAAGGGUUCCUGUCCAACGUUAAUCGGGGCAGGGUGAGUCGACCCCUAAGGCGAGGCCGAAAGGCGUAGUCGAUGGGAAACGGGUUAAUAUUCCCGUACUUGGUGUUACUGCGAAGGGGGGACGGAGAAGGCUAUGUUGGCCGGGCGACGGUUGUCCCGGUUUAAGCGUGUAGGUGUGUGUUCCAGGUAAAUCCGGUUCACUUUAACACUGAGGCGUGACGACGAGGCACUACGGUGCUGAAGCAACAAAUGCCCUGCUUCCAGGAAAAGCCUCUAAGCAUCAGGUAACAUCAAAUCGUACCCCAAACCGACACAGGUGGUCAGGUAGAGAAUACCAAGGCGCUUGAGAGAACUCGGGUGAAGGAACUAGGCAAAAUGGUGCCGUAACUUCGGGAGAAGGCACGCUGAUAUGUAGGUGAAGCGGUUUACCCGUGGAGCUGAAAUCAGUCGAAGAUACCAGCUGGCUGCAACUGUUUAUUAAAAACACAGCACUGUGCAAACACGAAAGUGGACGUAUACGGUGUGACGCCUGCCCGGUGCCGGAAGGUUAAUUGAUGGGGUCAGCGCAAGCGAAGCUCCUGAUCGAAGCCCCGGUAAACGGCGGCCGUAACUAUAACGGUCCUAAGGUAGCGAAAUUCCUUGUCGGGUAAGUUCCGACCUGCACGAAUGGCGUAAUGAUGGCCAGGCUGUCUCCACCCGAGACUCAGUGAAAUUGAACUCGCUGUGAAGAUGCAGUGUACCCGCGGCAAGACGGAAAGACCCCGUGAACCUUUACUAUAGCUUGACACUGAACAUUGAGCCUUGAUGUGUAGGAUAGGUGGGAGGCUUUGAAGUGUGGACGCCAGUCUGCAUGGAGCCGACCUUGAAAUACCACCCUUUAAUGUUUGAUGUUCUAACGUGGACCCGUAAUCCGGGUUGCGGACAGUGUCUGGUGGGUAGUUUGACUGGGGCGGUCUCCUCCUAAAGAGUAACGGAGGAGCACGAAGGUUGGCUAAUCCUGGUCGGACAUCAGGAGGUUAGUGCAAUGGCAUAAGCCAGCUUGACUGCGAGCGUGACGGCGCGAGCAGGUGCGAAAGCAGGUCAUAGUGAUCCGGUGGUUCUGAAUGGAAGGGCCAUCGCUCAACGGAUAAAAGGUACUCCGGGGAUAACAGGCUGAUACCGCCCAAGAGUUCAUAUCGACGGCGGUGUUUGGCACCUCGAUGUCGGCUCAUCACAUCCUGGGGCUGAAGUAGGUCCCAAGGGUAUGGCUGUUCGCCAUUUAAAGUGGUACGCGAGCUGGGUUUAGAACGUCGUGAGACAGUUCGGUCCCUAUCUGCCGUGGGCGCUGGAGAACUGAGGGGGGCUGCUCCUAGUACGAGAGGACCGGAGUGGACGCAUCACUGGUGUUCGGGUUGUCAUGCCAAUGGCACUGCCCGGUAGCUAAAUGCGGAAGAGAUAAGUGCUGAAAGCAUCUAAGCACGAAACUUGCCCCGAGAUGAGUUCUCCCUGAGACUUUAGGUCUCCUGAAGGAACGUUGAAGACGACGACGUUGAUAGGCCGGGUGUGUAAGCGCAGCGAUGCGUUGAGCUAACCGGUACUAAUGAACCGUGAGGCUUAACCUUACAACGCCGAAG